Molecule: ribosomal RNA, 492 nt
Filed under: uncultured bacterium
Lineage: Bacteria
Description: partial 16S ribosomal RNA
Rfam family: Bacterial small subunit ribosomal RNA
Source: RNAcentral
AGUGAACGCUGGCGGUAGGUCUAACACAUGCAAGUCGAACGGCAGCACAGUAAGAGCUUGCUCUUACGGGUGGCGAGUGGCGGACGGGUGAGGAAUACAUCGGAAUCUACUUUUUCGUGGGGGAUAACGUAGGGAAACUUACGCUAAUACCGCAUACGACCUACGGGUGAAAGCAGGGGAUCUUCGGACCUUGCGCGAUUGAAUGAGCCGAUGUCGGAUUAGCUGGUUGGCGGGGUAAAGGCCCACCAAGGCGACGAUCCGUAGCUGGUCUGAGAGGAUGAUCAGCCACACUGGAACUGAGACACGGUCCAGACUCCUACGGGAGGCAGCAGUGGGGAAUAUUGGACAAUGGGCGCAAGCCUGAUCCAGCCAUACCGCGUGGGUGAAGAAGGCCUUCGGGUUGUAAAGCCCUUUUGUUGGGAAAGAAAAGCAGCAGGUUAAUACCCCGCUGUUCUGACGGUACCCAAAGAAUAAGCACCGGCUAACUUCGUG